Taeniopygia guttata (zebra finch) is the source of this 2760-nucleotide long non-coding RNA. The record is from Ensembl. Lineage: Eukaryota; Metazoa; Chordata; Aves; Passeriformes; Estrildidae.
AUGGAGAGAAGACCUCCAAGGUGGCCCAAAGUGGCUUUCGAGGAGGUGGCGGCGCCUCCUGAGGAGAGCAGCUCCUCGGUGGAGCCCACCACGGUGACCAUGGUGGAGGAGCUGCAUCUCAAUCCCGCAUGGAUUCCUGAUAAGGCAAAAGACAUCCUGGAAUUCGUCCAAGUUUUUGCCAGCAACCCCACAAAGUUCCAGGACAGGGAGCAAAUAUUGGAAUUCCUCCACAACAUCUGCAUCCUGUGCCGGUAUUCCAAACUCCACAAUUUCUCCGAGGAGCUGAGGGAUUUCUGCAUCAGAUCCCAGCUGGCGGAGACGGUGCAGCUGCUGCUGGAUUUGCAGCCCAAAUACGUGAUCAAAGACCGGGUGCACCGCUUCGCCAUGCUCGCCUUGGCCGAGCUCAGUGCCAUCGGGAUCGUGCUGGAGACCAAAAAAGUUUUAAGACUUUGCUUCAACAGCGUCUUUUUACUCCCUCCGUUCUACGAAAUGUCGCGCCUGGAAGUGACGCUCUGUACUCGGACCCUGCGCACACUGGACACCAUGCUGGAGGUGAUGGUGCUCAGCUCUCCUGCCCCCAAAGUCGCCGAGGUGCUGCAGGACAUGUUGGAGAUGCUCGUGCAGUACCUGCUCUCCAACUUUCUGGUAACGCAGGAGAGGGUCGUGGGCAGGAUUAAGGCGCUGGGCCAUUUGCUGGACAGAUUUUUCACCAAGCAGACCGAUGAAGAUGAGGACAACGUCUUUGCCAGGGGACAGAUCCAGAUCCCAGUCCUGGGGAAGCUGCUGGGCCAUCUGUUUUUUAGGCUGUACCGGCGAGAAAACAGAAUCAAUAUUGUGGUGAAUAUUCUCUGCUGCCUGAUGACCUUCAUCUAUGCGCAGAAAGGUGACCCAAUGCCAGAGGGUGACAUCCAGCCCCCGGAACAUUGGGAAUUUGAGAUCGCCUCCUGGGUGAACGCUCCCAAUGCCUGGAGAGUUCAGGCCUUGGGGCGAUACCUCCGGCCUGCGGAGAGGACGGGAGUCGUCCUUGCGGCCAUCGAGCUCUUGGGACGCCCCGCCGUCCUGGGCGAGAAACCCCCGAUGGAGUUCCUGGAGGAGGCCAUGAAAUACCCUGAGGUGUGGCUGAUGGAUGUACCAAAGAUCGUGACGCACAUCUUCGCUUCUUACGACGAGAACAACGCGACGACCGCCUGCAGCUUUCACUCCCUCCUUCUCCUGAUGGUGAAUAAGAGCCCUGAGCAAGCCGUCGCUGCAGCUCUGGAGGCCACGCCGAAUUUUAGCUACAAAAUGCAUCUGUGGAAGGCGAUGUUCUCCAUGCACCAGACGCUGGAGAAGGUCCUGAAGGAGCUGGAAAUCCACAUCCGGGAGCGCCGUAGCAAAAAAUUCACUCAGCAGCAGAAGAAUUGCUUCUCUUUCUUAUCUAUGCUGGCCUACGGUGACGUGCAGGAGAGCAAAGUGAGGCCACUCUAUGAAAACCUGCACCUUCUCAGUCAUCCAAAGAUAGGAAUGGUCCCUCUGGUGCUCAGGGCUCUGGACACGCUGUCGGAGAGCGCCGAGACGGCAAAAAAAAUGAAGAGCCUCCUGCCCGAGGUGGUGAAAUUCCUGGGGCAUCGUUCUUGGCACGUUUCCAUGAUGGCCCUGGACAUUUUGGACAAUGUGCUGGGGCUGCUGAAGAAGAAGGAGGCCAGCAGCGUGGCGGUGAACGUGGCGCAGAGGCUCUGGUGUCUGUUUGAUGCGAAGGAAGCCUGCUUGCGGGAGCGCUCCAUCUCCCUCUUCGGAGAGCUCCUGGGCAAAACGGUGUGGAGGGACAAGAAAGCCAUGAGAAGAAACUCAUGGGAGACCCUGGUCCGGCUUGUUCUUCACAUGAGCGACAUGGUGCCCAGCGUGGCCAAGGCUUCCAAAAAUGCCGUCCUGGCCGUGGCGGAGCUCCUCAGCUGGGAGGAGCUGAAGCAGCUGGCGCAGAGGGAGCAGAUGUGUAUGAUGGGCGAGUGCUUGCUGGCCAAGGACAGCCGCAGAGUUGAACAAUUCGUGCAGGACACCAAACCUUACCUGCUGAACUCUCAGGCCCCCAUACGAGAAGCGGCUCUCCGGUUCAUCAGGUUGGCCGCGUGGCACCUGACGGAGCAGAACGAGGACGCCCUGACCGCCGUCCUCGGGGGACUUAAAACGAUGAAAGAAAGAGAGAAGGAUCCCUCCAUCCGUUCCCUGGCGGAUCAGACCGAUUUGAUCCUGAAAUCUCUGCAGGAUCGCCAAAAAUCGGGAUUUUCGCUGCGCUCGCUGUGCUGCUGCGUUGCUGAGCGCCCGGGGACGCAAAUUCCCAACAUCCAGGAAAUCAUGAGGUGUGCAAAGGAUUUUUAAAGUCAGGAGAGAGGUAUCCCUCCAUUCGUUCCUUGGCGGAUCUGACCGGUUUGAGUCUGAAAUCUCUAAAAAAUCAGCAAAAAUUGGGAUUUUUCCUGUGCUCACUGUGCUGCUGAGCGCCCGGGGACGCAAAUUCCCAACACCCAGCGAAGCACGAGGUGUGCAAAGGAGAGAGAAGGGCGGGAAACGUGAGGGGAGAAAAUGGCGGGAAACGUGAGGAGAGAAAAUGGCGGGAAACGUGAGGGGAGAAAAUGGUGGGAAACGUGAGGGGAGAAAAUGGCGGGAAACGUGAGGGGAGAAAAUGGGUGGGAAAUGUGAGGGGAGAAAAAGGGCGGGAAACGUGAGGGGAGAAAAAGGGAGGGAAACGUGAGGGGAGAAAAAGGCGGGAAACGUGAGGGGAGAAAA